Non-coding RNA from Dehalogenimonas alkenigignens, 45 nucleotides. The record is from Rfam. NCBI's taxonomy places the organism in Bacteria, Bacillati, Chloroflexota, Dehalococcoidia, Dehalococcoidales, Dehalococcoidaceae.
CUAAAGGCUUCUUUUGAAGCCGCCCAAAAAACAAUAGCCGAGUUG